AUUGGAAACGAUAGCUAAUACCGCAUAAAAGGAGCUAACCCAUGUUAGCUUUUUAAAAGGUGCAACAGCAUCACUUAAAGAUGGACCUGCGUUGUAUUAGCUAGUUGGUAAGGUAACGGCUUACCAAGGCUUCGAUACAUAGCCGACCUGAGAGGGUGAUCGGCCACACUGGGACUGAGACACGGCCCAGACUCCUACGGGAGGCAGCAGUAGGGAAUCUUCGGCAAUGGGGGGAACCCUGACCGAGCAACGCCGCGUGAGUGAAGAAGGUUUUCGGAUCGUAAAGCUCUGUUAUAAGCGAAGAAAAGGAGUAAGAGUGGAAAGUUUACUCUAUGACGGUAGCUUAUCAGAAAGGGACGGCUAACUACGUGCCAGCAGCCGCGGUAAUACGUAGGUCCCGAGCGUUGUCCGGAUUUAUUGGGCGUAAAGCGAGCGCAGGUGGUUUAAUAAGUCUGAAGUUAAAGGCAGUGGCUCAACCAUUGUACGCUUUGGAAACUGUUAAACUUGAGUGCAGAAGGGGAGAGUGGAAUUCCAUGUGUAGCGGUGAAAUGCGUAGAUAUAUGGAGGAACACCGGUGGCGAAAGCGGCUCUCUGGUCUGUAACUGACACUGAGGCUCGAAAGCGUGGGUAGCGAACAGGAUUAGAUACCCUGGUAGUCCACGCCGUAAACGAUGAGUGCUAGGUGUUGGGUCCUUUCCGGGACUCAGUGCCGCAGCUAACGCAUUAAGCACUCCGCCUGGGGAGUACGACCGCAAGGUUGAAACUCAAAGGAAUUGACGGGGGCCCGCACAAGCGGUGGAGCAUGUGGUUUAAUUCGAAGCAACGCGAAGAACCUUACCAGGUCUUGACAUCCCGGUGCCGGUUCUAGAGAUAGAACUUCUCUUAGGAACACUGGAGACAGGUGGUGCAUGGUUGUCGUCAGCUCGUGUCGUGAGAU
This 937-nucleotide ribosomal RNA is filed under the name Streptococcus thoraltensis. RNAcentral's name for it is "bacterial SSU rRNA". It matches the Rfam family "Bacterial small subunit ribosomal RNA", at positions 149 to 1073 of the family's 1533-position model. The record is from RNAcentral. Lineage: Bacteria; Bacillati; Bacillota; Bacilli; Lactobacillales; Streptococcaceae.